RNAcentral lists this ribosomal RNA (253 nucleotides) under uncultured bacterium. Its description in RNAcentral is "partial 16S ribosomal RNA". It matches the Rfam family "Bacterial small subunit ribosomal RNA", at positions 524 to 776 of the family's 1533-position model. The record is from RNAcentral.
UACAGAGGGGGCAAGCGUUAUUCGGAAUUACUGGGCGUAAAGAGCUCGUAGGUGGUUUGUCGCGUUGUUCGUGAAAACUCACAGCUUAACUGUGGGCGUGCGGGCGAUACGGACAGACUGGAGUACUGCAGGGGAGACUGGAAUUCCUGGUGUAGCGGUGGAAUGCGCAGAUAUCAGGAGGAACACCGGUGGCGAAGGCGGGUCUCUGGGCAGUAACUGACGCUGAGGAGCGAAAGCGUGGGGAGCGAACAGG